UCAUCUCCGGGGGUAGAGCACUGUUUCGGCAAGGGGGUCAUCCCGACUUACCAACCCGAUGCAAACUGCGAAUACCGGAGAAUGUUAUCACGGGAGACACACGGCGGGUGCUAACGUCCGUCGUGAAGAGGGAAACAACCCAGACCGCCAGCUAAGGUCCCAAAGUCAUGGUUAAGUGGGAAACGAUGUGGGAAGGCCCAGACAGCCAGGAUGUUGGCUUAGAAGCAGCCAUCAUUUAAAGAAAGCGUAAUAGCUCACUGGUCGAGUCGGCCUGCGCGGAAGAUGUAACGGGGCUAAACCAUGCACCGAAGCUGCGGCAGCGACACUAUGUGUUGUUGGGUAGGGGAGCGU
This 351-nucleotide ribosomal RNA is filed under the name Escherichia coli. RNAcentral describes it as "partial 23S ribosomal RNA". It matches the Rfam family "Bacterial large subunit ribosomal RNA", at positions 890 to 1239 of the family's 2925-position model. The record is from RNAcentral. Lineage: Bacteria; Pseudomonadati; Pseudomonadota; Gammaproteobacteria; Enterobacterales; Enterobacteriaceae.